UGGAUAAAAGCCACUACCAAAGCGCUAUAGGAGAAAACCAAACCAUCAGCGCGUUCAAUCAAUCUUAGUGUUUUGAACCCGCCUCCAGAUUGUUUUCCUGAAUUGUGGCUGCGCAGAGACUCCGGGGUGGGAUGAGAACCAAGACUGCCCCACUGCCUCCCUACCCGACUGACAUUGGACACGGAACAAGAGACCUGACAGGGUCCAACAGAGAAACGGGGAUGGGCUCAGAGCCUCUUUCCAGACCCGCCAGUCUCUGGUGCAACAGAUGAUGUCCGGGAAGAGGCGGAGCCAGGUGUGACAGUUCUGAGGGCCAAAGACAGCCGUUGGGUUAAUCAAUUGUUCUUUGGAGCAGCUUGGACACCUUUAGAGGGUGGGCUCUAUAGGUGAAAGAACGGCAGGCGGACCGACCAGAAGUUCGUGCUCUGAUGGCCGGGGAUGUGCAGAACUAGAGGAUGCGGAGCCGAUUGACAGCAGGCCUGAGAGAGAGAUCGAGCACUCGCAGCCCAACAAAACAAUCAUCUGGUCUGCUGGAGUCAAGCAGCAGGUGCAGCUGGCCAUCUAACCUGCUGCUAGGUUUGCCAUCACCGUCCUUGGGUGACAAAACCAGAAAAAAGCAUGACACAGUGAGAGGAUGGCCAUCUGUGAACCAGGAAGUGGACCCUCACCAGAUGCAGAAAUCUGCUGGCACCUUGAUCUUCGACUUCCAGCCUCCAGACGUGUGAGAAAUAAACUUGUUGGUUAUAUGCUACCCUGUCUGUUGUAUUCCAUUAUAGCAGCCUGAAUAGACUACUGCUCAUAACACUUUACCAAACCAAUGUAAUGGUGAGUCCAAUCAAGUUGAACAACAAAUGCUGAAGUGAAAUGAACUGUUCCCCUUUGGAUGGUAUAUUUGUAUAUGGGGGGAACAGUAGGUAACAGAAUGUCUCUCCACUGGGACAGGGUUUGCUUUGGGGCCCAUGUAUUGCCCCCUAAAUUAUUGACAGUAUGCCAAACGUCAGCGCAUCAGUCUAAAUUCCUUUGUGUGGGUUGUAGCGUAUAGUAACCUGGCCUUAGUUUUACUACUUUGUAGCUGCCUAAAGAUACAAGGCCCCAAUCACUGAUUACCCCAGCCAUUUCUCAGGGUUGUGAUGACACCGAGCAACCCUGUGGGAUGAGGCAAUGUCUCCCUCUGGGGCAAAAAACAGGCUGGAUCACCCAUGGUCAGUGUUUCUUGGCUGUGAUGUAAACCUAUUGUGUGUGCAACAUCCACCAGGGACCCUCUGCAUCACUGCUGUGGGACUUGGAGGACAUGGGGAGCAGGUGCCCACGUGACGUGCAUGCUGCUUGCUGUCCUAGGAGCAGGAAAAUCCUUUGUCUCAGCCUCAGGAGUCUCAUGUUUUCUGUCAGCAUCUAUAAAACAUGUUAGCUUGUAAGAGGGUGAAGUCUCAGACCUUUCGCAGACCCUGACAAUCAACA
Long non-coding RNA from Pan troglodytes (chimpanzee), 1458 nucleotides. RefSeq lists it as uncharacterized. NCBI's taxonomy places the organism in Eukaryota, Metazoa, Chordata, Mammalia, Primates, Hominidae. The transcript is spliced from 3 exons. The record is from RefSeq and is a predicted model, not a curated record.